AGUUGAGAUAUGCGCGUCUGUCCGCUGUGUCUCCAUGUAGAUGUUGGACGUUUUUACGCAUGAAUAUUGUUUGUGUAAUGCAGUCAUAAUAUUUACUCGUGGACGCAGGAGGAGUGGAGGUGGAAGCUGAGCCGAGCUCAGAAACUCGGACGAGGAUCUCAGGAUCGGCUCCUGUGGGAAGACCGUGGAAAUAUCCAGGAAUGGUUUGGGUACAGAGAUUCAGGCUCAUCUCUGCCGCAUUCUUUCCAUUUUGCUCAAGAGCACAGUGGCUGUGAAGACAAGAGUGGGCAGCGAGCGACUUUGGCCACAGGAAGCUGUGAAUUAUUUGAAAAAUGGACAAUGUCUUAUGGGGAGACAUAGUGUAACCCCCUGCCCCACCCACCCACCAAUUCCACCCACUCA
RNAcentral lists this long non-coding RNA (402 nucleotides) under Gouania willdenowi (blunt-snouted clingfish). RNAcentral describes it as "lncRNA (ENSGWIG00000006319.1)". The record is from RNAcentral. Lineage: Eukaryota; Metazoa; Chordata; Actinopteri; Blenniiformes; Gobiesocidae.